RNAcentral lists this ribosomal RNA (736 nucleotides) under Comamonas thiooxydans. Its description in RNAcentral is "partial 16S rRNA". Lineage: Bacteria; Pseudomonadati; Pseudomonadota; Betaproteobacteria; Burkholderiales; Comamonadaceae. The record is from RNAcentral.
CGCUUUCGUGCAUGAGCGUCAGUGCAGGCCCAGGGGAUUGCCUUCGCCAUCGGUGUUCCUCCGCAUAUCUACGCAUUUCACUGCUACACGCGGAAUUCCAUCCCCCUCUGCCGCACUCUAGCCUUGCAGUCACAAUGGCAGUUCCCAGGUUGAGCCCGGGGAUUUCACCACUGUCUUACAAAACCGCCUGCGCACGCUUUACGCCCAGUAAUUCCGAUUAACGCUUGCACCCUACGUAUUACCGCGGCUGCUGGCACGUAGUUAGCCGGUGCUUAUUCUUACGGUACCGUCAUGACCCGGGGAUAUUAGCCCCAGGCUUUUCGUUCCGUACAAAAGCAGUUUACAACCCGAGGGCCUUCAUCCUGCACGCGGCAUUGCUGGAUCAGGCUUUCGCCCAUUGUCCAAAAUUCCCCACUGCUGCCUCCCGUAGGAGUCUGGGCCGUGUCUCAGUCCCAGUGUGGCUGGUCGUCCUCUCAGACCAGCUACAGAUCGCAGGCUUGGUAAGCCUUUACCCCACCAACUACCUAAUCUGCCAUCAGCCGCUCUAGUAGCACAAGGCCCGAAGGUCCCCUGCUUUCAUCCGUAGAUCUCAUGCGGUAUUAGCUACUCUUUCGAGUAGUUAUCCCCCACUACUAGGCACGUUCCGAUGUAUUACUCACCCGUUCGCCACUCGUCAGCAUCCGAAGACCUGUUACCGUUCGACUUGCAUGUGUAAAGCAUGCCGCCAGCGUUCAAU